GCAAAUUUGAGGCUAGCCUCAGCAACUUAGAUCCUAUCUCAAAAAAUAAAAAGGGAGGGAAAAAAGAUGUCAGGUCAAGUGAUGUCUAUGGCUUUGAAUUCCAUUUUGUAAGGGCUAUCAAUGGCAUGAGGGGUAUACAUUGUCGUUGGGUCAAGUUUCCCAGGAUGGUUGACUAAGGGAGUAUGGAGUGUUGAAUUCUGGGGUCUAGGAUGCACAUGGAGGCUACAGAUAAUAGAACCCACAGUGCCAUGAAGUGUGAGAGGUUAUGGAAUGGGGAGAGGCAUACUACAAAAGAGGUUGUGGGUUGGAGGAGGAACAGAUUCUGGGGCACAUACAUAAGUGUCAUCUCCUAAGCAUGGGCAACUGAUGGGUGCCAUUUAGAUCCUUGAAGGUAUGGGGUACAGCUUCUCUGCCCCCCCACCCAUUUGAGCUCAGUUUGUCUAUGGGCCAGAAUAUGGCCCGGUGGCUUCAGCUCCACGUGUGCUCAGCUGUGUGCUCUGCAAACCCCACUGAAGAUGAGCAAAAUCCAUCCAGCACAUGCUGAUGGUUUAGCUCACUGAGAAAGAAGCAGGAGUCUUCCUGGACUGGCAAGGUCAAGUCAUUCCCUAU
RNAcentral lists this long non-coding RNA (609 nucleotides) under Marmota monax (woodchuck). The record is from RNAcentral. Lineage: Eukaryota; Metazoa; Chordata; Mammalia; Rodentia; Sciuridae.